UGGGGAAGUUUUUCCGUCAAUGGGCGAAAGCCUGACGGAGCAAUGCCGCGUGGAGGUGGAAGGCCUACGGGUCGCCAACUUCUUUUCUCGGAGAAGAAACAAUGACGGUAUCUGAGGAAUAAGCAUCGGCUAACUCUGUGCCAG
RNAcentral lists this ribosomal RNA (144 nucleotides) under uncultured bacterium. Its description in RNAcentral is "partial 16S rRNA". It matches the Rfam family "Bacterial small subunit ribosomal RNA", at positions 355 to 511 of the family's 1533-position model. The record is from RNAcentral.